This 2842-nucleotide unclassified non-coding RNA is filed under the name Ceratitis capitata (Mediterranean fruit fly). Its description in RNAcentral is "uncharacterized protein DDB_G0271670, transcript variant X3". The record is from RNAcentral. Lineage: Eukaryota; Metazoa; Arthropoda; Insecta; Diptera; Tephritidae.
GCGUCAAAAAGACAACAUGGGUAAAACUCAAAGCAAGCGUUCAGUUGAUAUAACCACCGAAGCCAAGAAGAAUCCAGAUGAAGAUGUUACCGGCAAGUUGGAAAAAAUUGAAGAUCUCGAUCAGAAGCAAGUGAAUGGUGAUGCUAGUUCUCAGGAGAAUGCUGAAACGGAGAAAAAGGAGGGCGAUGAAACCGAAAACGAUAAAGACUUGACAACCGAAAAGAGUGGCGGCGAGAGUGGUGCACAAGACGGUGGUGGUGAUAGCAAUACAGGACAAAGUAAUGCAAAUGCUGCGGAGUCUAAUGCCAAGGAAGAUGAAUCGGCUGCCUCAAAGGAUGGCAAUAAAACGGCUGAAGAAAUAUCACCGCUCUCGGAUGAGGCUAACAAAAAGCCCAAGAAGGAGAAGGUCAAAAAGAAAUGGUCAUUCCGCAGCAUCUCGUUUGGUAAGAAGGAUAAACAAAAACCAGCUAAGGCCGAAGAUGCAGCAGCUGAAAAUGCGGCGGCCACAAAUGGUGAAACCGUAGCGCAAGGAGGCGAGGGUGCUGCUACAGAAGAGAAUGCAGCUGGUGAUGCUGAGCAGAAAAAUUCGAACGAGAAACCCACUGAAAAUGGUGAAUCAUCGGAGAAAGAAUUGAAUGGCGAAAAGUCGUCGUCAACAACAACACCAACUGAAGAGCAACCAGCUAAGGAAAUCUCUUCCAACGAAAAUACCACCACCACCACCACCAACAACAUCACUAACAACACCAACACCACCACCACCGAAACAAUAAGUUCAGUCGUAAUUGAGAAUAGCUCAAACACCACUGCCACUGAAACUAACCAGACUGAGAAGCAAACUAUUAACAACACUGCCACUACUUUAGCCGCAGAGACUCCUGAAAGUGCACCAGCCGCCGCUGCUACGGUCGUAGUGAGUAAUGGUGAUGCAAUUGAAAAGAAUGGCAUCGACACAUUAUCGACCGCCGCUGACCAGAAAGAUCAAGUUACAGUUAAAGCCGCCGCGGACUUGAUUGCUGAAACGUCCGAUGUUGCCGAUAAAAUCAAAAGCAUUCCAAAUGUUGUUAACGAGUUGUCCGAUAACAAUGGUGUACAUCAAAAUGGCACGAGCGCAAAUGGUGAAGAACUUGAACCAGAAAUUGAGUCCAAAUCACAAGUUGAGGUAAUAUUCCAAACAGAUAAAGCUGCCCACACAGAUGAAUUAGUUACUUUGAAUACCGCUACUACUUCCUCCUCACCCAAUACAACCCCUAUCUUAUCCCCUGACCCCAACAACACUGAAUCAACUGCGUGCGUAAGCAACGAUAAUGACGCAUCAUCGUCACUAAAGAGCAGCAGCGAAAAUGCAAUUGCAUUCGUGACUGAUAAAAAACUUGAAGAAGAAAAGGAAGAAGAAGCAACAGCAGCAGCUAUUGUUGUUGAGAGCUUAACAAGUGCUGUAGUAGAAGAUGUGGCUAUGCAGACAAAAGAAACUGUAGUAGUAGAAGUAGCAACUACAGUUUCAGACGUCGCAGAACAAACUGAAGCCGUCGUUACUGUUGUUACAGGUAAUGUAGAGCCCAACGUAGUAACGGAAGGUCAAGAGAACACAACUGCAGCUCAAAACCACAAUGAAAAUGAAAUUGGAAUUGAAGCAACGUCUACGGCACAAAGUGUAUCGUCAAUAGCUAAUGAAUCCCCAAAACCUCCUCCGCUACCUGUUUCCCCACCACCCUCACAAGUAUCAGUCUUUGCAUUCAAUGAUAACGAUCAAACCGCCGAUGAAGAACUUUGUGAUACUACCGAACAGUUAGUUGCCGAUGACAAAAUAUUAGCACCAACAACAACAACAACCACCGAAACAUCACAUGCAGAUAUCGAGAACAUAACCACUGAAGACAAAGACACCACCACCACCACCACCACACAAACCGAAAUUGUGGAUAUUGCAGCUGAAACGACCGCGCAGUCUCUACCAGCCGCAUCUGAUGUAGAAACAACUAAGACACCAACCAACAGCGAUAUCGUUGCGCCAAGUGAAUUGUUGGAAGCGCCAGAGACCAUAAAUGAACCAGUUGAAGAACUACCGCUGCUUGAUAUUGUGGCAGCAGAGAAAGAUCUCUCAAAUAUCAAUACAACAGCAGAAGUUGCUAUAGUUCCUCCUGAAGAGAUUUCGGAAAACACUGAAGAUCAAUGUGUAAAGGCGGCCACAGCAGUGGUAGAUGAGAUAACCGAAAAAGCUGUGGAGUUGAUUCAACAACAAAACGAUAAUCAACAACAAGCGGAAAUCAAUCAAUCAGCCGAUAAUAUAACAGCAACAACAACUGAAGUUACUAAGACUGAUGAUGUCGAAAUCGAAGUUAAUAAUGCUGAUGAUGAUGAUAAUGAUGAUGAUAUUAAAAAUGUUGAAAUUUCUAUGCCUGCGAAAGACAACGCAUUGGAUGAAGUAAUUGAAAAACUGGAGGCGGCUCAUAUACAAAGCGUGGAAAAUACAGAUUCCGACAAACAUACAUCCUUGAUUCUUGAAUCAAACAUAAAUGAUUGCUUGAAAACGACUGAUAAGCACAUAGUGGAGGAGGAGGAGGAUAGGGAUUUGGCUGCUGAAAUUUGUAGUCAGGCUGUGGUCAGCGUUAAUGAGAAUGACAAUUAAUGCUGUGGCGUCAAAACAAUUGUAACGAUUUAUAAAUACAGCACACUAAAUAUAAAAGAUUGAUAAAAUACGAAAAACGAAAACGAAUACAUUUGCCGUUUGUGCAUCCAAGGAUAUUACUAACGCUAAGGACCUAAAGGAGAGCGCUGCGGCAGAGGUCACAACACAGGAUCUUCCCGUUAUAUGCGAAUAAUCCUACUCAUAAUUAUAUUA